RNAcentral lists this ribosomal RNA (853 nucleotides) under Neohelicascus chiangraiensis. Its description in RNAcentral is "SSU rRNA". It matches the Rfam family "Eukaryotic small subunit ribosomal RNA", at positions 89 to 952 of the family's 1831-position model. The record is from RNAcentral. Lineage: Eukaryota; Fungi; Ascomycota; Dothideomycetes; Pleosporales; Morosphaeriaceae.
GCGAAUGGCUCAUUAAAUCAGUUAUCGUUUAUUUGAUAGUACCUUACUACUUGGAUAACCGUGGUAAUUCUAGAGCUAAUACAUGCUAAAAACCCCAACUUCGGAAGGGGUGUAUUUAUUAGAUAAAAAACCAAUGCCCUUCGGGGCUCUUUGGUGAUUCAUGAUAACUUCUCAGAUCGCAUGGCCUUGCGCCGGCGACGGUUCAUUCAAAUUUCUGCCCUAUCAACUUUCGAUGGUAAGGUAUUGGCUUACCAUGGUUUCAACGGGUAACGGGGAAUUAGGGUUCGAUUCCGGAGAGGGAGCCUGAGAAACGGCUACCACAUCCAAGGAAGGCAGCAGGCGCGCAAAUUACCCAAUCCCGACACGGGGAGGUAGUGACAAUAAAUACUGAUACAGGGCUCUUUUGGGUCUUGUAAUUGGAAUGAGUACAAUUUAAACCUCUUAACGAGGAACAAUUGGAGGGCAAGUCUGGUGCCAGCAGCCGCGGUAAUUCCAGCUCCAAUAGCGUAUAUUAAAGUUGUUGCAGUUAAAAAGCUCGUAGUUGAACCUUGGGCCUGGCUGGCAGGUCCGCCUCACCGCGUGUACUUGACCGGCCGGGCCUUCUCUUCUGGAGAACCUCAUGCCCUUUACUGGGCGUGUUGGGGACCAGGACUUUUACUUUGAAAAAAUUAGAGUGUUCAAAGCAGGCCUUUGCUCGAAUAUGUUAGCAUGGAAUAAUAGAAUAGGACGUGCGGUCCUAUUUUGUUGGUUUCUAGGACCGCCGUAAUGAUUAAUAGGGACAGUCGGGGGCAUCAGUAUUCAAUUGUCAGAGGUGAAAUUCUUGGAUUUAUUGAAGACUAACUACUGCGAAAGC